RNAcentral lists this ribosomal RNA (301 nucleotides) under uncultured bacterium. RNAcentral describes it as "partial 16S ribosomal RNA". It matches the Rfam family "Bacterial small subunit ribosomal RNA", at positions 509 to 809 of the family's 1533-position model. The record is from RNAcentral.
CAGCAGCCGCGGUAAUACGUAGGUGGCAAGCGUUGUCCGGAAUUAUUGGGCGUAAAGGGCUCGCAGGCGGUUUCUUAAGUCUGAUGUGAAAGCCCCCGGCUCAACCGGGGAGGGUCAUUGGAAACUGGGAAACUUGAGUGCAGAAGAGGAGAGUGGAAUUCCACGUGUAGCGGUGAAAUGCGUAGAGAUGUGGAGGAACACCAGUGGCGAAGGCGACUCUCUGGUCUGUAACUGACGCUGAGGAGCGAAAGCGUGGGGAGCGAACAGGAUUAGAUACCCCCGUAGUCCCUGUCUCUUAUCC